This 373-nucleotide ribosomal RNA is filed under the name uncultured eukaryote. Its description in RNAcentral is "partial 18S ribosomal RNA". It matches the Rfam family "Eukaryotic small subunit ribosomal RNA", at positions 592 to 976 of the family's 1831-position model. The record is from RNAcentral.
CAAUAGCGUAUAUUAAAGUUGUUGCAGUUAAAAAGCUCGUAGUUGAAUUUCUGUCAUACUUCGAGGAACGGUGCACUGAUGUGUACACGGGCUUCGGAGUUGAUAGCCUUCUGAGGGCGAAUCCACUUGUGGGUGAGCAAUCUCGGACCGUUACUUUGAGAAAAUUAGAGUGUUUAAAGCAGGCAUUUGCCUUGAAUACUACAGCAUGGAAUAAUAAGAUAGGACCGUGGUUCUUUCUUGUUGGUUCGGAGAGCUAUGGUAAUGAUUAACAGGGACAGUCGGGGGCAUUCGUAUUUGACAGUCAGAGGUGAAAUUCUUAGAUUUGUUAAAGACGAACUACUGCGAAAGCAUUUGCCAAGGAUGUGCCCAUUAA